GUUCGGCUUGGCCCAUCUGGUCUGGAACUGUCUUCAGCAGAGGAGGACUGUUCCCCUCCACAUAAGAAAUCCCUUCCUCCUGCCCCCCCCCCCGCAUAAAUUCUCUCCCUGCAUUUACUGCAGUCACCCCAAACCCCAAUUUAGCCCCAGCCCCUACCACUCCAGCAGCAACCCCAGCAUCUCACAGGCUCUUCACAGAGUUGCUGCAUGGCUGGGAGCCGGGAGAGAAUUUUUCAUCACCUCAGACCUUCAGUUGGACUCCCCAGCAAUCAUCAUAACCAGGUAAACUACUUGGGGCUAAUUGGUGGGACUGACGUACGUGACUGUACAUGGCGUGUCCUUUGGCGGCUAUUUGCCAACAAUUUGGCAAAGCAGCUCAGCUGGAGUGGGGUCGAUGGCAAAAUGUCUCUGGCCUCCCUUCAGUUGAAAGAUGUUGUCAUCGAGAAACCCCUACACCUCCGGUGCUGCUGAGAAAGAGGUAGAAGGGACAAUGAAGAGGUGGCUUCAGCUGGCUGCUGACCGAGAGGGCGGGAGGAAAAGGAGGCUCCUUUCAAAAGAAAAUGUAUAGUGUGUCUGUCUUUGAAAUCAGUGUCUUUAAAAAUCUGUUUUUAUGUUGUUGUUGUCUGCAUUAG
Long non-coding RNA from Micropterus dolomieu (smallmouth bass), 632 nucleotides. RefSeq lists it as uncharacterized. The record is from RefSeq and is a predicted model, not a curated record. The transcript has 4 exons. NCBI's taxonomy places the organism in Eukaryota, Metazoa, Chordata, Actinopteri, Centrarchiformes, Centrarchidae.